This 951-nucleotide ribosomal RNA is filed under the name Staphylococcus aureus. RNAcentral describes it as "bacterial SSU rRNA". It matches the Rfam family "Bacterial small subunit ribosomal RNA", at positions 1 to 932 of the family's 1533-position model. The record is from RNAcentral. Lineage: Bacteria; Bacillati; Bacillota; Bacilli; Caryophanales; Staphylococcaceae.
UUUUAUGGAGAGUUUGAUCCUGGCUCAGGAUGAACGCUGGCGGCGUGCCUAAUACAUGCAAGUCGAGCGAACGGACGAGAAGCUUGCUUCUCUGAUGUUAGCGGCGGACGGGUGAGUAACACGUGGAUAACCUACCUAUAAGACUGGGAUAACUUCGGGAAACCGGAGCUAAUACCGGAUAAUAUUUUAAACCGCAUGGUUCAAAAGUGAAAGACGGUCUUGCUGUCACUUAUAGAUGGAUCCGCGCUGCAUUAGCUAGUUGGUAAGGUAACGGCUUACCAAGGCAACGAUGCAUAGCCGACCUGAGAGGGUGAUCGGCCACACUGGAACUGAGACACGGUCCAGACUCCUACGGGAGGCAGCAGUAGGGAAUCUUCCGCAAUGGGCGAAAGCCUGACGGAGCAACGCCGCGUGAGUGAUGAAGGUCUUCGGAUCGUAAAACUCUGUUAUUAGGGAAGAACAUAUGUGUAAGUAACUGUGCACAUCUUGACGGUACCUAAUCAGAAAGCCACGGCUAACUACGUGCCAGCAGCCGCGGUAAUACGUAGGUGGCAAGCGUUAUCCGGAAUUAUUGGGCGUAAAGCGCGCGUAGGCGGUUUUUUAAGUCUGAUGUGAAAGCCCACGGCUCAACCGUGGAGGGUCAUUGGAAACUGGAAAACUUGAGUGCAGAAGAGGAAAGUGGAAUUCCAUGUGUAGCGGUGAAAUGCGCAGAGAUAUGGAGGAACACCAGUGGCGAAGGCGACUUUCUGGUCUGUAACUGACGCUGAUGUGCGAAAGCGUGGGGAUCAAACAGGAUUAGAUCCCCUGGUAGUCCACGCCGUAAACGAUGAGUGCUAAGUGUUAGGGGGUUUCCGCCCCUUAGUGCUGCAGCUAACGCAUUAAGCACUCCGCCUGGGGAGUACGACCGCAAGGUUGAAACUCAAAGGAAUUGACGGGGACCCGCACAAGCGG